AGACCCGAAACCCGGUGAUCUAGCCAUGGGCAGGUUGAAGGUUGGGUAACACUAACUGGAGGACCGAACCGACUAAUGUUGAAAAAUUAGCGGAUGACCUGUGGCUGGGGGUGAAAGGCCAAUCAAACCGGGAGAUAGCUGGUUCUCCCCGAAAGCUAUUUAGGUAGCGCCUCGUGAAUUCAUCUCCGGGGGUAGAGCACUGUUUCGGCUAGGGGGCCAUCCCGGCUUACCAACCCGAUGCAAACUGCGAAUACCGGAGAAUGUUAUCACGGGAGACACACGGCGGGUGCUAACGUCCGUCGUGAAGAGGGAAACAACCCAGACCGCCAGCUAAGGUCCCAAAGUCAUGGUUAAGUGGGAAACGAUGUGGGAAGGCCCAGACAGCCAGGAUGUUGGCUUAGAAGCAGCCAUCAUUUAAAGAAAGCGUAAUAGCUCACUGGUCGAGUCGGCCUGCGCGGAAGAUGUAACGGGGCUAAACCAUGCACCGAAGCUGCGGCAGCGACACUGUGUGUUGUUGGGUAGGGGAGCGUUCUGUAAGCCUGUGAAGGUGUGUCGUGAGGCAUGCUGGAGGUAUCAGAAGUGCGAAUGCUGACAUAAGUAACGAUAAAGCGGGUGAAAAGCCCGCUCGCCGGAAGACCAAGGGUUCCUGUCCAACGUUAAUCGGGGCAGGGUGAGUCGACCCCUAAGGCGAGGCCGAAAGGCGUAGUCGAUGGGAAACGGGUUAAUAUUCCCGUACUUGGUGUUACUGCGAAGGGGGGACGGAGAAGGCUAUGUUGGCCGGGCGACGGUUGUCCCGGUUUAAGCGUGUAGGUGUGUGUUCCAGGUAAAU
This 829-nucleotide ribosomal RNA is filed under the name Salmonella enterica. Its description in RNAcentral is "partial 23S ribosomal RNA". It matches the Rfam family "Bacterial large subunit ribosomal RNA", at positions 711 to 1541 of the family's 2925-position model. The record is from RNAcentral. RNAcentral also lists the same sequence under 2 other names. Lineage: Bacteria; Pseudomonadati; Pseudomonadota; Gammaproteobacteria; Enterobacterales; Enterobacteriaceae.